UGAACUGAAGAGUUUGAUCCUGGCUCAGAUUGAACGCUGGCGGCAUGCUUUACACAUGCAAGUCGAACGGCAGCACGGGGGUAACCCUGGUGGCGAGUGGCGAACGGGUGAGUAAUGCAUCGGAACGUAUCCUGUUGUGGGGGACAACCUACCGAAAGGUGGGCUGAUACCGCAUGAGACCUGAGGGUGAAAGCGGGGGACUGGAGACGGCCUCGCGCGAUGGGAGCGGCUGAUGUCCGAUUAGCUAGUUGGUGGGGUAAAGGCCUACCAAGGCUGCGAUCGGUAGCGGGUCUGAGAGGAUGAUCCGCCACACUGGGACUGAGACACGGCCCAGACUCCUACGGGAGGCAGCA
RNAcentral lists this ribosomal RNA (353 nucleotides) under Rhodocyclales bacterium CG_4_9_14_3_um_filter_68_10. Its description in RNAcentral is "bacterial SSU rRNA". It matches the Rfam family "Bacterial small subunit ribosomal RNA", at positions 1 to 353 of the family's 1533-position model. Lineage: Bacteria; Pseudomonadati; Pseudomonadota; Betaproteobacteria; Rhodocyclales. The record is from RNAcentral.